CGGCGAGCGAACGGGGAGGAGCCCAGAGCCUGAAUCAGCAUGUGUGUUAGUGGAAGCGUCUGGAAAGGCGCGCGAUACAGGGUGACAGCCCCGUACACAAAAGCGCAUGUGUUGUGAGCUCGAUGAGUAGGGCGGGACACGUGGUAUCCUGUCUGAAUAUGGGGGGACCAUCCUCCAAGGCUAAAUACUCCUGACUGACCGAUAGUGAACCAGUACCGUGAGGGAAAGGCGAAAAGAACCCCGGCGAGGGGAGUGAAAAAGAACCUGAAACCGUGUACGUACAAGCAGUGGGAGCACAGGUUUACCUGUGUGACUGCGUACCUUUUGUAUAAUGGGUCAGCGACUUAUAUUCUGUAGCAAGGUUAACCGUAUAGGGGAGCCGCAGGGAAACCGAGUCUUAAUUGGGCGUUAAGUUGCAGGGUAUAGACCCGAAACCCGGUGAUCUAGCCAUGGGCAGGUUGAAGGUUGGGUAACACUAACUGGAGGACCGAACCGACUAAUGUUGAAAAAUUAG
RNAcentral lists this ribosomal RNA (514 nucleotides) under Salmonella enterica subsp. enterica serovar Derby. Its description in RNAcentral is "partial 23S ribosomal RNA". It matches the Rfam family "Bacterial large subunit ribosomal RNA", at positions 247 to 800 of the family's 2925-position model. Lineage: Bacteria; Pseudomonadati; Pseudomonadota; Gammaproteobacteria; Enterobacterales; Enterobacteriaceae. The record is from RNAcentral.